CCCUUAGAUGUCCUGGGCCGCACGCGCGCUACACUGACAUGUUCAACAAGCCUCCUAGUUCGACAGGAUUUGGGAAAUCUUUGAACGCAUGUCGUGAUAGGGAUAGAUCAUUGCAAUUAUUGAUCUUGAACGAGGAAUUCCUAGUAAACGCGAGUCAUCAGCUCGCAUUGAUUACGUCCCUGCCCUUUGUACACACCGCCCGUCGCACCUACCGAUUGAAUGUUUCGGUGAAGAUUCCGGAUAGGACUUUUUUGAUUUAUUUCAAUUCUGUCUUAAAAGCUAUCUAAACCUCACCAUUUAGAGGAAGGUGAAGUCGUAACA
This 321-nucleotide ribosomal RNA is filed under the name uncultured eukaryote. RNAcentral's name for it is "partial 18S ribosomal RNA". It matches the Rfam family "Eukaryotic small subunit ribosomal RNA", at positions 1470 to 1796 of the family's 1831-position model. The record is from RNAcentral.